AAGACCACAGUUUCCUGUCGCGUGGUUGUGUUUCCUCUCCGGCCAGUGCCAUCCGCCCAAAUCUACAGACAUCCCGCGUGUUCCCGGGCUGUCCGCUCGUCUCCCCUAUACAGGGCGCCAAGGCUGUAGACUGCGCAGCCCUUCUAGAGACAGACGGAAGCUCCGUGGGUUGACAGAUUACACCUUCUGGAGCCCCCUGUUCCCUUCAACUCCGUGAUGGGCAUCCACUGUCCAGGGAGAGGAUGCCUGGAAAUGACAGCCGGGGUCUACAGUGGCCAUAAGAGUUGUCCCCAUCUUGCUAGAUCGACAGACUGGUGCCCCCGACCGCUUGGGAAGGGUUUUCUCUCCGCCCUGUGACAACAGGCAAGAGUGGGGGCCCAACAAUACAGAGUAAGUGAUGUGUCACUUCUACUCUUCCAUGCCCAGUGCCAGGAGAGACGGUACACUCGAGUGCUGUGCCCUGGUGGGCCUUUGAACAGCCAGUGGCAGGUGCAGUGGAUCAUCAGCCCUGUCUCCCAAGAGCCUCGCCAGUCCCUUCUCCGGAGAGCAAGUGGCUCCACUGGCUGCUCCGGAGGCCAUAGCAGCCUUACAGAAGUGUGGAACUUUCUGGAAGCUGCACAAGUCAGUGCUGGGUCUUUGCAACUUGGUGUUCUGUUUCUAGAAACUUUGGGGUAUUUACAUGUGAUAGGUCAGCACAGAUAGAUUUCCAAUGGGUCCCUAGGAUUGUCACCUGUACUCAACAGUCCUCCUCGACUUUCCAGAAGAGGCUGGAACAGGGCCCUUGAAGAUGUUUGUGGACACCAGAGUGCCAAAGACCACGCUCAAAGUGAAACUGGAGACACCGCCCCCUCGGCAUCAUGAAACAGCUUUUUACUGUGCUUGGUCACUGGCUCAUACAUGGGAGAUUCCAGCAUACAAAGUCUUGACACCAACACCUCGGAGGGCUGUGUUCUGUCCCCAUGACCAUCUGCCAGUGCCUGGAAUGACUAAUGCCAAGAACUUGGUGCCAACUUCCUGUUACCUCCCUAACAGCUGUGCAAUAAAUCUCAUAGAUUAAUUCAGUCUGCCUUUUAAA
Molecule: long non-coding RNA, 1075 nt
Filed under: Mus pahari (shrew mouse)
Lineage: Eukaryota; Metazoa; Chordata; Mammalia; Rodentia; Muridae
Description: lncRNA (MGP_PahariEiJ_G0012420.1)
Source: RNAcentral